RNAcentral lists this ribosomal RNA (427 nucleotides) under uncultured bacterium. RNAcentral's name for it is "partial 16S ribosomal RNA". It matches the Rfam family "Bacterial small subunit ribosomal RNA", at positions 355 to 774 of the family's 1533-position model. The record is from RNAcentral.
UGGGGAAUAUUGCACAAUGGGCGCAAGCCUGAUGCAGCCAUGCCGCGUGUAUGAAGAAGGCCUUCGGGUUGUAAAGUACUUUCAGCGGGGAGGAAGGCGAUAAGGUUAAUAACCUUGUCGAUUGACGUUACCCGCAGAAGAAGCACCGGCUAACUCCGUGCCAGCAGCCGCGGUAAUACGGAGGGUGCAAGCGUUAAUCGGAAUUACUGGGCGUAAAGCGCACGCAGGCGGUCUGUCAAGUCAGAUGUGAAAUCCCCGGGCUCAACCUGGGAACUGCAUUAGAAACUGGCAGGCUAGAGUCUUGUAGAGGGGGGUAGAAUUCCAGGUGUAGCGGUGAAAUGCGUAGAGAUCUGGAGGAAUACCGGUGGCGAAGGCGGCCCCCUGGACAAAGACUGACGCUCAGGUGCGAAAGCGUGGAGAGCAAACA